GACGAACGCUGGCGGCGUGCUUAACACAUGCAAGUCGAACGGAAAGGCCCUGCUUUUGUGGGGUGCUCGAGUGGCGAACGGGUGAGUAACACGUGAGUAACCUGCCCUUGACUUUGGGAUAACUUCAGGAAACUGGGGCUAAUACCGGAUAGGAGCUCCUGCUGCAUGGUGGGGGUUGGAAAGUUUCGGCGGUUGGGGAUGGACUCGCGGCUUAUCAGCUUGUUGGUGGGGUAGUGGCUUACCAAGGCUUUGACGGGUAGCCGGCCUGAGAGGGUGACCGGCCACAUUGGGACUGAGAUACGGCCCAGACUCCACGGGAGGCAGCAGUGGGGAAUAUUGCACAAUGGGCGGAAGCCUGAUGCAGCAACGCCGCGUGCGGGAUGACGGCCUUCGGGUUGUAAACCGCUUUCGCCUGUGACGAAGCGUGAGUGACGGUAAUGGGUAAAGAAGCACCGGCUAAC
RNAcentral lists this ribosomal RNA (461 nucleotides) under uncultured bacterium. RNAcentral's name for it is "partial 16S ribosomal RNA". It matches the Rfam family "Bacterial small subunit ribosomal RNA", at positions 28 to 501 of the family's 1533-position model. The record is from RNAcentral.